This 1092-nucleotide long non-coding RNA is filed under the name Lactuca sativa (garden lettuce). RNAcentral describes it as "long non-coding RNA (LSAT_LNC004905)". The record is from RNAcentral. Lineage: Eukaryota; Viridiplantae; Streptophyta; Magnoliopsida; Asterales; Asteraceae.
AAAAAAAUGCAUAAGGACUUGCACUUUGAUAAUAAUAGACUGGGGCAUGAUCGUUAUUACUACCAUAAGAAAUAUGAAAAUUUUGAAACAAUUCUACACCAAAAGUCCAAAAAAUUGUGAUGAAUUAACCUAACUAACUUCCAUCCUUUUUUCUUUGUUUUUCUCUAUGCCAUUUUCUUUUCCAUUAUCGGUGGCAUAUGAAUCUUCAUCAAUUGGGAUGAAACAAUUCUACAUCAAGGUCUAUUUUGAAAGUUAUCCUCUUUCUUUUUUUCUUCUUAUAAUCAACAACCUGUUGUCAAAGAAAGUAUCAAUAUCAGCAACAACACAUACAGAACUAUAAUAUUCAAGUCCUUAAGUUAGGUUGAACAUAAUCUUUAUCAUCAAAUUCUAUAGUUAAUAACUUCCUUUUGUAUCAUUUGGAUAUUCAAAUGCCACUUUACUCUAUUGAAUAACUACUAAACCCAUAAUGCUUUUUGUAUCAAAUAAAUAUGCAUUAUAGUAACAUAUUGCCUCAUUCAGCUUGAUCAAGUUGUUGAAAAACUUCAGUGUAAUAGUAAAGCUAUAAAAUUGCAAUCAAGGAAUAAAACAUAAAAUUUGUCUUCUAUAAUUAAUCAGAAAGAAAAAAAACCUGAUUUGAAGUUACAUAAGGUGGAGAUCAAGAGCAGAGGAAAUGAGUAGUAGUGGUGGUCAAUGCAGUAGGUAACGAUGGAGGCGGUGGUCGGCAAGGAGGAUGACAACAGCGGUCAGAGAUUGAAGCCGAUGGUCAGAUGCAGUUUGUGAACACAGAGGCGAUGUCUUCAUAAUCAGGAAGCGGGAGAGCAAGGCAGCAAGCCGGUUGAGAGGAAGAAAGCGUCGAAGGGCCAAAUGAGGAAGAUGACCCAAUCAGCUAUUUUUUUUACUCAUUUAGCAUACAAUUUGUACCAUAUGAGAUUCACAACAACAACACCAAACGAAAAAAUAUCAGAAAAAAAAAAUCAUCAAUACUUCAUUAAAUCUAGCAUAAUCAAAGAAGAACAAAAAAAAAGAAACUUGAACAUCACAAAAAAAAUCCAACAUCUCUGCAAAAUUUGAGCACAAAAAAUCGGAGAAAAA